Molecule: long non-coding RNA, 496 nt
Organism: Diorhabda carinulata
Lineage: Eukaryota; Metazoa; Arthropoda; Insecta; Coleoptera; Chrysomelidae
Exons: 2
Source: RefSeq, a predicted model, not a curated record
AAGAAUUUGAAAGGUAUAAGCUGUCAAUAAUAGUUCAAAAAAUCUCUAGAAGGGAAAAUAAGAUAAACGCCCUGUGUAUAAGCAUUGUUAUAUAACGUAAAUUAGUUUCGGUGAUAAUAAUAAUGAUCAGGUACAAUUUAAUAACAGGAUAUUUACAAUACCGUGACACUUACAUGUUUUAAUUAAGUUUGAAUCUAAUAUAAAUACGACACAAAGUCUCUAAUAAAACAUAGAAAAAUAAUCAUGACGAGAUUUACCAUUUUCCUAAUUUGUGCUACGUUGCUUUUUAUGGGUUACGUGGAUGCAGAAGGUCCACCUAGUGGAAUGCCGGGAGGUGGAUCGGGAUCAGGAAGUGGCGGUGCUUCGGGAAAAACUAAAGGAGGUCUAGAAGAAAACCAGAAAGUUGGACUUGGAGCUAGCGGUGAAGGACAAGGAGAUUUUAAAAAAGGAAAAUAAAACGUAAAUUGUUAAAAAUAAAUUUUAUUUCAUUUCAAAA